Molecule: long non-coding RNA, 618 nt
Filed under: Vitis vinifera (wine grape)
Lineage: Eukaryota; Viridiplantae; Streptophyta; Magnoliopsida; Vitales; Vitaceae
Description: long non-coding RNA (VVIN_LNC005166)
Source: RNAcentral
AUUCACUCUCUAGUGUAAAAAAAAACUGUUGGUAGUCCAUUAUGUAUUAUUGACAUUGGAAUGAUUGAUUUCUGAGUUUGAAUAGGGCCUUUCUCGGGUUAGAGUCACUAUAUUUGCAGUGAUUGUGGUGUUGAUGCACUGAAGCUCAUGUGAAAGAAACAUGUUGCCUAGGGCUGGAUUGGUUUGAACUCGAAGUAUUCCCUCCCUAACGUAUGGAAUGGACUGGUUAAGAAUCAACUUCUCUCUCCCUUGAUCGCUCUAUAUGUUUAGGUUAAAUUUUCAUUUCCUACCCUCUAUUUUCUUAUACCUUUUCCAGUGUAAAUUCUUGCAUAAUAAUCUUCCAGUGGAAGAAUAUAUAUAUAUAUAUAUAUAUAUAUAUAUAUAUAUAUAUAUAUAUAUAUAUAUAUAUAUAUUUUCCGGGAGAAAUGCCUGGCUUGCCCGUGGAGAUUGUAGCUUUGAGUCUGGUUGUCAGGGAGAAAGAGCUCACUUUUUUGGAUGGGUUAACCUGACCGAUCUAUUUUGUACUUAAUCGGACAGGUUUGGAUAAUUAUUUUCAAUAUUCAAGUUAGGUUUGAGUUAACUUUUUUUAACUCGAACAUAAUUUGGAUUGGGUGGAAG